GGGAGGGGCGGGGAGGAGGUGGAACAAACCAAAAAACAAACAACCCGCAAUUUCAACUCACCAGAGUUUGGGUCUGUGGGUUGGUUUCAGCACAUUAUAAAGGCAGUGGCCAUUUGCAGGAUCUGAGUUCACAUAUCAAAUGGUGUAAAGUCAAAGGUGUUUGGAUCAAUCUCUACUACAGAAUGUAUAAUUUCACCAGCUAAGGAUAUGCUUUCUUUAUUGUUAUCCCUACAGUAAAGGAUAAUUGUAGUGCUCAUUGAGAUGGUAUCUGAUUGUCCUACAAGAGUAAAAGAUAGUAAUAGGGAUAUCUCUAGAAGAUGAAAUUCUUCCCUCUGUCUUCCUUUAAAAUGGAUUUCAACUGAGACUAGGUGUCAAUGGUUAAUUCCAUCUGGCUGAGGUGUCAUAAGACAAAGUUGUGGGGAAGGUAUUUUAAGUAUAGCUAGAUAGGAACAAAGAGUCUGUUUUUAAAAAUCCUUUGUAAAUUAAUUUGUCUGCUUAGUCAUUUAUUUGUGACUGCCUCUUUAACUUCCAUUAGCUUCAGUGGGAGCAGGAUUGGGCUCUUACCUGGGUUAGUAUGGAUUUAAAAAAAACAAAACCUAAAUACAUUUUGCAUGGCAAACCGAUUUUAUUUUGAAAUGGAGCAUAUGUUUCAUGCAGAUGCUAGGGUUCCAAAACUAAAAAUGACUUGAAAAGUGUAAAAUGCUGUGGGGCUGCGAAUAGUAUGAGGUAGCUCUGUUGCCCUCUGGGUAGAAUGAAUGUCUUGCAAAAUUAAAAAAACAUCCUGAAGAGCCAAUUAAGGAGUGGGGCUGAUAGGCUCUGACAAGACUCGCAUUCAGUUCCCUUUAGCUGAAAGGAUGUUGGCCCUGACCUGGGAGCCUCAAGGGUGGGAUGGGGAAGUUGGAAAGUAACGUGUAUAUUGGGGGGAGGGAGAUGGAGGGGGCAAUCCUUGGAUCUCAGGAAGAUACCUAGAGGAAGUUGCCGCCUCCCCAGGAAAAAGGAAAUCUUGAGGUUCUUCUCACACUAUAAUCUCUGGUUAGUGAAGUUUGUUUAUAUCAAGACUCCACGGUCUCCCAUGGAUCUGAAUUUUAGAGGUGAUUUAAAUUGUUUUUCUGAUAGAGGAGAAGUGAAGCACAAACAUGUACAAACAUGUUCAUCUUACCUUUUACUGAGCAUUUCAAGUUGCUUGGGUAUUUCUGCUCCAUCUAGCUAGAAAAGGUAGGCCUUGCAUUUAAGAGAUAUAUACGUCUGCUUUAAAAAGUGAUACUUGAGGAAAGUAUGUUCUGAAGUUAAUUAUGAAUACUGAAAAAUGAUGCAGCACAAACACUAAUUUUCCAAGAUAACAAUAAUACUCAUACGUUACUGUUAGCUCCAGUUACUCUUUCACCACUUUUAGCCAGAAAUCUCUGCCAUAGCACUUUGGCUGAGUUGAGGUUGUAAUUCACAACAAGCACACUGGCUCCUUAACAACUGUUUUACCUGUCUCUGGCAAGAUGACAAAGAUAAUUGAUGUUGCUAGAGGAAAAUACCUAUUGCAGUUAUGUUGUGUUUUGUUAAAUAAAUUAGGCUUUUUAAAAGUUGGACA
This is a long non-coding RNA of Chrysemys picta bellii (western painted turtle), 1582 nucleotides long. The record is from Ensembl. NCBI's taxonomy places the organism in Eukaryota, Metazoa, Chordata, Testudines, Emydidae.